Chelonia mydas (Green sea turtle) is the source of this 2047-nucleotide long non-coding RNA. RefSeq lists it as uncharacterized. The transcript has 3 exons. Lineage: Eukaryota; Metazoa; Chordata; Testudines; Cheloniidae. The record is from RefSeq and is a predicted model, not a curated record.
CCCCAGAGUCCCUGCUUUGUAAGUGCAGAUAUUGGCAGAUCUGCAAUCGGCCCAUGCACCUGCAUCUGUCUCUUGAAUGUUCUGCUAUUCUCAUCAACACCUGAAGAAGAAAGGAAGCAGCAUUGGAGAGAGGGGAGAUCCUGACUGAAGGAUUCACCUAGUAAGCCUGUUUGAAUUCAUGAGAGCACCUGGGCCCCAGAAAGAAAGAAGAAUGACUGAUGAGAGCUGCCUGAGAAGGAAAAGAGACUCAGAGGCAGACAGGAGCAGCAGGGAAGAGCUGUUGGAGAUGGAGAGGUACAAUGGAGAGAUAGCAGAAGUAACUGGGAGAGAGCUACAGGAGACCUGGGAGAGGGAGAGAGCUAAUGGUGAUGAGAGCUGGUUCAGAGAGUUGCUGGGACUGGAGGAACAGAAGGUGAAAAUACCCUGCCAAGCUUCAGGAUAGCUCACGCAGAGGCCCUGGGAAAAGGGCAAGAACCAGCUUGAUUAGAGAAGCCAAGUCUGAAAACAAAAGGGUUGCCACUCAAGAGUGGCUCCCAGGAGCAGGCAUUAGACUCACAGACAGGGAGGCCUGGAGGCGUAGAACACCGUGGAUAGUCCUCCUCUUGCAGCAGGUCUGAGUGAUGGGCGGCAGGCAGCCAAGCCAGAAACAAGAUAAUUGAUUCUGGAUGUUCCCAGAGUAGAGGUAGAACUCACAGGCAGGGAGGCUUGGGGAGUGCAACACUGCGAGGCACCGUCUUGCAGGAUACCCAGCUUGGGGGCUGCAGCAGCAGAGGUGUGGGAGAGUAGCAACUUUGGUUACUAUCAGGUAGAUGGCCUCGAGAGUGGGGCCCUGGAACAAGGACAGAAAAGCUGCGAACUGAGUGGACACUGACAGAGGUGGACAAUCUCAAAAUGGUAUUUCUGGAGGGGGCAUGGAAAACUACUGGGAUUCUCUUGUACUUUGGGAUUUGGAAAGAACAUUUUUGAUCAUGAGAGUUCUGUGAACUAUUUUACAUGUACAGGAAUAAAACUAUGCCCAACAGUGGGAUUUUGAAUGAACACUCAGAGAGAUUGUGUUCCUUUUUAUAGACAGGUAUACCAGCACACUGUAGGAGAGUGCUCAAGGUGGAGGCUGCCCUGCUACAGGAGGAUUCAGAUUUCAGGUUCCAUUUUGGUGCCCAUCUAUAAUUAUUACAUUUGAGGUAUAUUAGCUAAGGUCAUAAUAUGUCCUACACUCACUCCAUUCUUAGGUCUUGGCUUAUAAUUUGUAGGGCACAAAGUUUCCAGAAGGGGAACUCAGGAAAUGAGUUGCCUGUCUCCGUGGUCUUGCUGUUAAGGAAUGGUGAGGAGGGAUGCACUUUGUCUGGCUAUGAGCUAUUUCCUCUUUCUCUGGCUCCAUGCCAGAGAUGCAAUGAAUUGCAGAGUAUUUAUGGACCAAGGGAAGACAAAUGUUGUCUUGUUUUGCUUGUACUUAGGAGUGGCCUUCUAAGCUAUAAUGAGCAUAAUAUGCAAAACAAUACCAAGCAUAUCAAGGUGGGUGGUUUCAUCACAUUAACCAAACAAGCCCUGUCAGCUGUUGAUAGAGGUACUCCUGGACAGAUAGCCAGUUUGGUCCCAAUCCAUUUCUAAUCAAAGAAUACAAAUGAAGGAGUGCAAAAAUGGCAACAUCGUGCCCUAGUUAAUUUGUGAAUGGGUUUAGUAAAAAUAACAAUAUCUUCCAUGGUAAGUUCUCUCUCUGAGUAAAGAAUGUGUGAGCCUGUAUGUUGUCAUGUCUAGGGACUGCACAACUGCUCUCACUGAAGGUAAUUUGAGAAUAAAGAAACAGACAGUGUACUUCAGUGACAUAAAAAAGUAAUGCUUGCUUGACUGUUCCUCUGUGCUCUUAAAAGCAUCACAAGCCUGACUAAUUUGUGUUUGCCUUUAAUUGUAGUAAGAAGGAGUAAGAAUACUCAUGGAACAGCCAAAAAGCAUUCACAAUGAAAUGUUUUCAUAGAGAACAGUUUUUCCUGCAAACUUAGGGCUCUUAAGGUGAUAUAGCAAUUGUAUUUAACAGGAGCAUUAUUAAAAG